This 1353-nucleotide ribosomal RNA is filed under the name uncultured prokaryote. RNAcentral describes it as "partial 16S ribosomal RNA". It matches the Rfam family "Bacterial small subunit ribosomal RNA", at positions 107 to 1457 of the family's 1533-position model. The record is from RNAcentral.
UGAGUAAUGCGUGGGAAUCUGCCUACUAGCGGGGGAUAGCCCGGAGAAAUCCGGAUUAAUACCGCAUAAGCCCUACGGGGGAAAGCUGGGGAUCUUCGGACCUGGCACUAGUAGAUGAGCCCGCGUUAGAUUAGCUUGUUGGUGGGGUAAUGGCCUACCAAGGCAACGAUCCAUAGCUGGUCUGGGAGGACGAUCAGCCACACUGGGACUGAGACACGGCCCAGACUCCUACGGGAGGCAGCAGUGGGGAAUAUUGCACAAUGGGCGAAAGCCUGAUGCAGCAAUACCGCGUGUGUGAAGAAGGCCUGAGGGUUGUAAAGCACUUUCAAUUGUGAGGAAAAGCUUUUGGUUAAUAACCAUUGACCGUGACGUUACCCACAGAAGAAGGACCGGCUAACUCCGUGCCAGCAGCCGCGGUAAUACGGAGGGUCCGAACGUUAAUCGGAAUCACUGGGCGUAAAGCGCACGUAGGCGGUUUUGUAAGUCGAAUGUGAAAGCCCUGGGCUUAACCUGGGAACUGCAUUCGAUACUGCAUAACUAGAAUCUGGUAGAGGGGGGUAGAAUUCCUAGUGUAGCGGUGAAAUGCGUAGAUAUUAGGAGGAAUACCAGUGGCGAAGGCGGCCCUCUGGCUCGAUACUGACACGGAGGUGCGAAAGCGUGGGGAGCAAACAGGAUUAGAUACCCUGGUAGUCCACGCCGUAAACGAUGUCUACUAGCCGUUGGGAGACUUAUCUCUUAGUGGCGCAGCUAACGCAAUAAGUAGACCGCCUGGGGAGUACGGUCGCAAGAUUAAAACUCAAAUGAAUUGACGGGGGCCCGCACAAGCGGUGGAGCAUGUGGUUUAAUUCGAUGCAACGCGAAGAACCUUACCUACCCUUGACAUCCUCAGAACUUGUUAGAGAUAACUUGGUGCCUUCGGGAACUGUGAGACAGGUGCUGCAUGGCUGUCGUCAGCUCGUGUUGUGAAAUGUUGGGUUAAGUCCCGUAACGAGCGCAACCCUUGUCCUUAGUUGCCAGCACGUAAUGGUGGGAACUCUAAGGAGACUGCCGGUGAUAAACCGGAGGAAGGUGGGGAUGACGUCAAGUCAUCAUGGCCCUUAUGGGAUGGGCUACACACGUGCUACAAUGGCUAGUACAGAGGGCAGCGAACUCGCGAGAGUAAGCAAAUCCCAGAAAGCUGGUCGUAGUCCGGAUUGGAGUCUGCAACUCGACUCCAUGAAGUUGGAAUCGCUAGUAAUCGCGAAUCAGAAUGUCGCGGUGAAUACGUUCCCGGGCCUUGUACACACCGCCCGUCACACCAUGGGAGUGGGUUGCAAAAGAAGUGGGUAGCUUAACCUUCGGGAGUGCGCUCAC